AUGCUUCCUGUGCCAGCAAUAAGCACAGAAACCCUAGUACUAAAAUAAACAUUCAUGCCUCUUCUAGUGGAACUCAGUCUAGUGGAGGAGAGCAAUUUAACCAAAUGGCCAUGUUAAUAAAUGUUUACUACUGGGUUUGGUGGAACACGCUAGUGAUCUCAGCACUUAGGAAGCUGAGGCAGGAGCAUGAAGAGGCCAACCUGGGCCACAAAGCAAGACCCUGUCUCAAAAUAUAACAAAAUAGUAUUUAUUGUAACUAUCCCUUUCUCCAAUGAGGGUAACAUUUCUAACUAACUUACUAGAAAAAGACAAUGGGCAUAUAUAUUAUAUCUAUACAUAUUUUACUUUUUACUUAAAACACAUAAACAUCUACUUGCCAAAUUUGAUCCAGCUAAGAUGCCUUUUCUAAGGACUGGUCUGGUAACUGAAGUGUCACCUCAUCUUUCUUGUAUAAAGCCCACUCAAAAUUAUACAUGUUGUGUACAAUUUUCAGUGUCAGCUACUUUAGAAUGGAAGACAUGGAGACACUGGUGAGGAGGUUCCAGCAGCAGCGGUCCAGAAAACAUUCAUGAGAAGGGAUCCAGGGACUGGCUCACUUAUUGCCUUGUUGACAAGAAGAAUUACAUCCUGAAAGGAAUAUGGGAUAGGUCUGCUCUGCAGCCCAAUUGACAAAGAAUUUACCUGUGAUGACAAGUGGAAAAUGUCUAGGUGGAGAAUAACAUCUUUACCAGUUUGAUCAUUCAGGUAUUUGUAAGCUAUGGGAAUAAUAUCUAUAAAAACCACAAGGUUGUCUGGUUAUUACUAGAUUAGUUGUAUUGAUGCUUCUGGGGAUGGAGUGAGGAAUACUUCAAUAAACAACAACAAUAACAACAAAAGAACAACACUCAGCUUAACCAUCAGUGAAAAGCCUGUGAGAGACAGAAGCCACAGUACCAGAUGGAGAGGUCCUCAUCCUGCCCUCAAUACCUGAUGGAGAGGUCUUCAUUCCUGCCCUCAGUACCCCAUGGGGUGGUCCUCAUCCUGCCCUCAAUACCCAUGGAGAGAUCCUCAUCCUUCCCUCAGUAUCCAAUGGAGAGAUCCUCAUCCUGCCCUCAGUACCCCAUGGAGAGGUCUUCAUCCUCUGUAGUUGAAGAUAAGACACAGAUGGGAAGCAGCCCAGUAUAAUAGGAUUUCAGAAUUUGGGGUACAAGUAAGUGCUUAGCAAAGGUAAGCAUAUUACACUGAUUUCACUGAGUGGGAACCACAGGGCCUCUGAGAUUUGGGAUAGAAUUGUAUCCAUGGAUAUUCUGAGUACUGUGUCUCUGCUGGAAUCUUCACAGUGAAGGAAAUGUGGGAAUGCGUCUAUGACCAUGUGGUCCAGCAGUCAUGUUACAAAUUAUUUCAUCUAGAAGAAAUUGGUUUCAUGCAGUUAGAAGCUGUCUGAAGUGCUGGAUUGGUAAUUAUAUUGCAAAAUAAACCAGAGACAUUAUACGGCACUAGGUCUCCAGGGAAGCAACCUGAAGUCAAUGUCCCCACUGGCCAUCUUUCUCAAUGACCCCUUGGGGAAGCCCUGCUUCCACAUCUUUGUGAUUAUGGACCUUGCAAGGUUGAGGUCCUUGUCCCCAAAAGUGUAUUCUUGCCAGAGGAUCUGAACAAACUAUGUUAUUAUUGCUUGUGACACUUUGAAGUCUCCUUGUUUAGAAAGUAGGCAGGAAAGAAAUCAUCAUCUUGGAAAGGACAAUGGUCCCUCAUCAUCAGGUGACUGCUUUGAUGCUGAGAGGGAAAGAAGGGAUACCUGUGAAAUCAAAUUUCUUCUGUGCCUCUUCACAUUUAUUGUUUAAUUAUGACCAUAAGCAGAUACCCACAGAAACUCUGGCUGACAAGAGUGUGGUUACCAGCAGCUGCCUCUGAGCAAGCUUGGUUCAUAUAAUCAGGAAGGCCACUGAGACCAGCCCAUGUGCCAGUUGAAUGAGGAAGGCUAGAGAAAGAAUGGAGGAGGGACACGAUGGGAGUAGCUGUAGAUUCAAGUUCAAAUGCAGCCACACAACUGUAGUUCUUCCUAUUGCCUGCCUUCUUCUAUGUUCUCACUCCGCACCCCCAGAGAAAAAGACCAAUGGUCCAUGGAAGGGCCAGUUCAGCAUAAAGAGCUGUCACAGAGCUUCAUUUUGGUCUGCACUGUUUGUUGUCACAGUUUUAUGUCUAUAUCAUAGUUGCUAUCAUCUUUCAACAUCUUCUCAGAGUUCUUAUAUAUGCUUCAGCUAUUUUUACUUCUCCUGUAACUUUUAUAAAUGUUGACACAUAUUAAAGGUUCAGAACCAUGUACAAUUACCAGGACACUUAACUGUAGUUCCUUAAAUUCAAGAGGUGUUUGUGUAACCAUACACAUUGCAGAAAGUAGGAAUCCAAGUUUCAGAAGAGUAAGUAAAUAAUAAAAAGCUAAUAUCACUCUUAAAAAUAGUCACUACCUAUCUCUUUCUGUCAGUAUUGACAAGUAAAUGGGUUGGUGUAUAAUGUCAGUAGUUAAGAGAAGUUGUUCUCAACCUGGGGGUCACAUAUCAGAUAUCCUACAUAUCAGAUAUUUAUAGUACAAUUCAUAACAGUAGCAGAACUACAGUUAUGAAAUAGCAAUGAAAUAAUCUUAUGGCAGGAGACACCAUAACAUGAGAAACUAUAUUAAAGGGUUGCAGCAUUAGGAAGGUUGAGAACCACUGAGUCAGCAUACACAAAACUGGAACUUGGUGGCAUUUGUUAUAUAGGAGUGACAAUUUUUAUUUAUAUAGGUUCCUCAAAGUUGGUUUUAAAAAAUGGAUCAUUUGAGAUGCACUGAAAACUCUUGAGUUAAUUAAGGCAAGCAUCAUUUUUAUCCUGCCAAAUAUUGAAGCUCAAAUAAACUUGGUAAUUUGUCUAAAUCACAAACUACAAAUGUUAGCUAGAGUUGGUUUUUGAACCCUGGGUCAUCUGAUCUCAAAGUCUAUUCCCUUCCCAAUAAUGUAAGUAUCUUCCUUCCGAUGGCUAAUUUUGGUUGUCAGUUAGACCACAUCUUGUAUCAACUAAAACUCAAGCAUUGGCGCAUGACUAUGAGGAUUUUUCUUGACUGGAUAAUUUGAGGUGAGAAGACCCAUCCUAAAUCAGGGCUACAAUUUCUUGUGGCAGCCCCACAUUAAAGGACAUAGAAGAAGGAAGCUUUUGAUUUUUGCCUUCUUGCUCUCACUCUCAGUGGCAAAUUCAUCUAUCCUGUUGCGAAGGUAUUCCUUUUCUGGUAUUAGAACUUUCUUCUUCAGGAUUCGAGUGUAGACUGAAGACGAGCUGGGAGACCCAGUCUGGUAGACUGAACAAUUGCUGGAUUACUAGUCUUUCCUCUGAGAGACAGACAUUGUUAGACUGGCUAGACCACAGCCUGUAAGGCACUCUAAAAAUGCCCUUUUAAUAUGUCUUCCACCAGUUCUGUUCCUUUAUAGAACCCCGACUGUCUCUCUUAGGGUCCUCCUUGUUUCCUAGCUUCUCUGGCAGUGUGGAUUGUAGGCUGCUACUCCUUUGCUCUAUGUCUAAAAUCCAUAUACGAGUGAGUACAUACCAUGUUUGCCUUUUUGUGACUGGGUUAUCUCACUCAGGAUGGUUUCAUCUAGUUCCAUCCAUUUUACUGCAAAUUUAAAGAUUACUUUUUUUUUUGCUCUGUUGAGUAGUAUUCCCUUGUAUAAAUGUACCACAUUUUCUCCAUUCAUUCUUCAGUUGAGGGGCAUCUAGGUUGCUUUCAGAUUCUGGCUAUUACAAAUAAUGCUAUGAACAUGGUUGAACAGAUGUCCUUGUUGUAUGAAUGUGCAUCUUUUGGGUAUAUGCCCAAGAGUGGAAAUUGCUGGAUCUUGUGGUAGACUAAUUCCCAUUUUCCUGAGGAACUGACAUACUGAUUUCCAAAAUGGCUGUAUGAGUUGGCACUCCCACCAGAAGUGGAGGAAUGAUCUGCUUUCUCCACAUCCUCUCCAGCAUAAACUGUCAUUGGUGUUUUUUAUUUUGGCCAUUCUGACAGGAGUAAGAUGGUAUCUCAGAGUUGUUUUGAUUUGCAUUUCCCUGAUGGCUAAGGAUGUUGAGCACUUUCUUAAGUGUCUUUGAGCCAUUUUAGAUUCCUCUAUUGAGAAUUUUCUAUUUAGUUUUGUACCCCACUUUUUAAUUGGGUUAUUUGGUGUUUUGGAGAUUAGCCUCUUGAGUUCUUUGUAUAUUUUGGAGAUCAGCCUUUUGUCAGAUGUGGGGCUGGUGAAUAUUUUUUCCCAUUCUGUGGGCUGCCAUUUUCUCUUGUUAACUGUACCCUUUGCCUUACAGAAGCUUCUCAGUUUCAGAAGGUCCCAGUCCCCUGGAGAAGGGGAAAGGGACAAGAUCUCCUGAGCCAACUGGGAGCAUGGGGGAGGAGAGAGGGAAUUAGGAGAAAAAGAAGGGGUGAAGAAGAGGGGAGAGGAGGACAUGAGAGAGCAGGAAGAUCGAGUGAGAGGAAUAAUAGAGGAGAGCAAGAAAAGAGAUACCAUAAUAGAGGGAGUCAUUAUAGGUUUAAAGAGAAAUCUGGUACUAGGGAAAUGUCCAGAAAUCUACAAGGUUGACCCCAACUAACAAUCUAAGCAAUAGUCGAGAGGCUACCUUAAAUGACCUUCUCUGACAAUGAGAUUGAUGACUACCUUAUAUGCCAUCCGGGAGCCUUCAUUCAGUAGCUGAUGGAAACAGAAGCAUAUACCCACAGCUAACCACUGAGCUGUGGAAUCCAGUUGCAGAGAGGGAGGAGUGAUGAGCAAAGGGGCCAAGACCAGCCUGGAGAGACCCACAGAAACAGCUGACCUGAAUAAGGGGGAGCUCAUGGAUCCCAGACUGAUACCUGGGAAUCCAGCAUAGGACUGUUCCAGACCCCCUGAAUGAGGCUGUCAGUUUGGAGGUCAGGUUAAUGGACUUGGGAGCCCACUCCACAUAGAGGGAUACACUCAUCUUCAGAGUCAGGUCCAUGGUGUUUUUCAGAUAAAACAUAUAGCAAAGUCAGAAGAAGAAAGGCCAGUUCUUGUACUUCUAAUUAUCAAUGACUGUCCAUUCAUUGAGAAAAUUACAGCAUGCUUGUGACCUUUCCCAGAAUAAGAAACCUUCAUUAGAGACCCCAUCAUGUUGGUGUUUCUUACUUCAAAAUAUCCUUAAUUAUCUAAAAGAUGAAAAAAUAUAUAUGGGACACAGAAAGAAGCAAACAGCAUUAAUUUUCAAAUCAACAUUCCAAAGGAAAAAGAACGAUUUCUCCACACCUCUGGGCUUAUACUCUGUGAUAUGCAGCGGACCAGUGCUCAGACUCAUGCUGUUUUUCUGAAGCCCCUUUAUUUAUUUUUCAUUAAUCUGUUUCCCUUGUGUGCCUGGAACUCAGUAAUCUGCUCAUCUCUAGCAUGAUCUAUACUAUAAUCCAUCGUUUCUCUCUUCAUGCAUUUUAAUGAAGCAAUUUUUGCCUCCUUUACAUAACGGCUGUCCUGAUUUCAAACUACAACAUAACCAUUUAUUGUCACAUCACUGAAAGCAAAUCUUUAAAAGGAAUACGUCACAACAGGAUAGAUAAGGAUUUUUCACUCUUUUAAUUUUUCUUUUUUGGAAGAGGCCUUUGUGAACUCAGUAGCAUUUUUAUCAUUUAAUUUUCAGUAGCUGCUCAGGCUUGGAAAUAGAUAUCCCUGUGAGACACCAACCCAAGUGGGACAAAUGCUGGUGGCAGUCAGAGUCCUUUGUCCCCUCCAGGUCUCAUCUGUUGACAGGAUGCUUUGAAUUGUUGUACUCCCCGAACUGCUCUUGCAGGUUGGUUAUGUCCUCAAAGAGCGAUAGAACAGCUGUGCAGGAAGUGGCUGCUCAGUGUUGCCAUUUUGUGUCUGGCAUUGUCUUCCCCCUGUGUUUAUUUGGUCAUUGUCCCGGACUUGGGCUGUUUGUACCAUUCUGCUUACCAGUUGUUGCACAUUCAGGUCUGUGUUUAUCUGACUGCUUUCUGACCUUUGGUAUCUGUGUGAUAUCUGACCCACCAUGGUGCUCUUUUUCCAGGAAUACUAGAUAAUGUCCUCCUGGCUAUUCUUGGGAACCAGGUUACCUUGGUGUGUCCCCGAUUUCACAGCUUGCUGUGCCCUGCACCACUGUUGGACUUUUCAAUUCUUGCACACCUUGUGGUAGAUUUAUCUUUCAUUCAUUAUUUCAUUCUUUCAAUAAUCAGCUAUUAAACACCUAUGUAUAUAGUUGUCAGAAAGAAAAAUAAGAUAAAUAUUCUUCCCAGUCACAAAAUCAUUGAUUAGAAGAUGAAAAGAUCUAAAAGGGAGACAGAGAGGAGUUUUGAAAGGCUCUUCCACACAUUUGGGGUCCCCCACUAAGAAAAAAUUUGCAGUAGUAUGGAGAGACAUUUAGGCAAGGAUUUUGGAAGGGGUUGCUGUAGAGGUGGUCCUAAGCUUCAUUAGCUUCUCUUGUGAGGCUAUGUAGUUUUCAAGAAGUGCCAAGUCAUGGAGUGAAAAUAUGAAGAGAAUAUUAUGAAGGCAUGCAGGAAAGGCAAGUAAAUACUCUUGGUGUCAAGGAUGGCUUUUUGGAAGAAGUUGGCCCUGAUCUGCUUCAAAACCUAACUUCUAUUUAAGUAGAUGAUGGAGAUAGGAAAGAGGGUGGCAGUAGGCAAAGUGUUUUGAACAUAGAGUUUUACAUAUGGGCAUCAGCCACAAUAGGAAGGCUUGAGUGCUGCCAGCAGCUGUAUUUAUUUGGAAUAGAGGAGCCAUAAGUGAUAUUGGAGAAAGAAAUGGAGAUCAAACCACUGGGAAGUUUGGUGCCACAAUAUAGAGCUUAGAUUUCAUCUUGGAUAAACCACCUUGGUGGAAAAUGUGUGUGUGUGUGUGUGUGUGUGUGUGUGUGUGUGUGUGUGUGUGUGUGUGUGUAUUUCAGUUAGGAGCUGCAGCAGUCAGAGAAGCAGGAGAUGGACAAGUUGUGAACUAAAGACAUUACAGCAGGAAGGAGUGAAGAUUAAAUGUAGGGUUGAGGAAGACUAGAGAAUAAACUCCUGGAUUUCUACCUUGGGUGUCAAAGAAAUAUCACAUGUAGAAGAGCAGGUAGGGGAGGGGGCUGAUCUGGGGGGAGAUUGUGUAUUUAGUUGUAAGAAAACUUGGCUUCCAGAAAAAAUGGCAUCCAAGUCUGAAGUUAGGGAAGAGUCUAACAGGAAGUAAACACUGGGAAAACAUGGGCACCUAGGGAACAGGUAGAAGCAAGGGGAAGAACCAGAUAACGGGGGAGGUGUGGAGAAAAGUACAGAAAGCCAGAGAGGGAGCUCUGGAAGAUGUCAGAACAAAUCACAAGAGGGACUGAGGAAGCUGCAGAGUCCGGUACCAACACAGAGGAAACUGUUUUAACAUGGUGAAGGCUGAGUCCUGCAAUAAAAAGAAUGAAACAUGUUCUUUGGGGUUUUCAGCAGGAUGCAAGUGGAGACCAGGAUGAGAAUAUGUGGACAGCUGUGAUGAGAGCAAGCCUGUUCCCAAAGGUUGAGCAAGCAGGUGUAUGGCACGGGAGGAAUGGUUGUAUGGAGACUUUUAAAUGAUGGAGAUCUGAAAGUAGUGAGCAUUAGCUAUGGUGAUUAGGGUUCUCAACCUUCCUAAUUCUGUGAUCCUUCAGUACAAUUCCUCAUGUUGUGCUGACCCUCAACAGUAAUUCUAUUGCUGCUUCCUAACUGUAAUUUUGCUACUGUUUGAGUCAUAUUGUAAAUAUCUGUUUUCCAUUGGUUGACCCCUGUGAAAGGGUUGUUUGACUCCCAAAGGGGUCAAGACCCAGGUAGACAACUACUGAUCUAAAUGAUAUUACUUUAAAGAUAGGACAUAAUUAAGCAUUUUUAUAGUCUAAGAGGUUAAAUGUUCAGAAGAUGGGAUGGGGAAAAUGGGUUGGGAAAAUGUCCCAACCAUGUGAUGUGGUUUGGGUCUUAAAUGUGCCCCAAGGCUCAUAUAGUAAAGAUGACUAGCUUGUAGUGCUUUUGGUGAUGGUGAAGGAAGCUUCAGGAGAUGAAGCCUAGAACUCUCUACCCAAGUGAGAUGAGUGCCAGGUGACAUUGAACUGGAACAUCUGAAACCAUGAGCCUUUAAAAAAUUUAAAUGACAUUGUAUUUAUUUAUUUUGUCUGUCUAUCUGUGCAGGUGUUUGCCUGCACGAUGGCAGAUGUGCAUACCUGUUAGGGGACAAUUUGUGGGAGUUGGUUCUCUCCUUCUAUCCUGUGGAUUCCAAGGAUCAGACUCACGUCACCAGGCUUGGAGAAAUAUACGAAAUCAUUCAUAUGGAGAGGCCAUCAGACAAUCUGACACAAGUCUGGGAAAUGGAAUGACAGAGACAUCAGGGCAGGCAAGUUGAUUUAGCUUGCUGUCAGGCCUCAUGACCUGAAUUAGAUCACUAGACACGCAUCAUGGAAGAAGAAAACUGAUUCCCACAAGUUACUCUCUGACCUCUACACUGGUGCAAUGACAGGCGUGUACAUGCACAGGCAUUCAUAACAAUAAGUUUCUUCUUAUAACUGCCUUAAAUCUUCAACCAAGGUUCUGGAAACUCCUUAAGCAGAAGACAAACAAUUCAGAAUAACUUCAGGAAGUCCUUGAAACUGACCAGAUUUACUAGGCCCCUCCCUGCCAUUAAAGCUGAGAGUCCCUUUCAGAAGAUCUGAGUCAUGCAGCAAAGAAGACUGGCACCACCCAAGCCCCAUAGCUGAGCUGCAAAGACUCUGAGACCAGACCGGCUGUCUGCAAGAAACAGAAACCAGUGGAGCUGCAUGGAAGAGGUUGAGACUGAAGCACCUGGAAAGGACACUCUCCGACCCGUUGAACUACCUGAAGGCUGUGCAAUGUGCUCUAGGUUCCCAACUUUGUGAGUUGUCACUUGUGCUAGAGUGAGCUUCAGUGAUGCAGCUGUCUUUGGGUCAUUACUGUUCCUUUAAAUAACCCUUCACCCAUAUUCCUGUAAGUAACCUCAAUAAAACACAUUAAUUUGCCAAA
This 8962-nucleotide long non-coding RNA is filed under the name Cricetulus griseus (Chinese hamster). Its description in RNAcentral is "lncRNA (ENSCGRG00015036767.1)". The record is from RNAcentral. Lineage: Eukaryota; Metazoa; Chordata; Mammalia; Rodentia; Cricetidae.